CUGCGUGACGAAGCACGCAAGCCAGGCAACAAUAACGCCUGAGCUCCGAGACAGUCGCCCAACGCCGGUUAAGCCGGCGUUUUUUU
This is a small RNA of 86 nucleotides. It matches the Rfam family "sroD RNA". From Rfam's summary of the family: This family consists of a number of bacterial sroD RNA genes of around 90 bases in length. sroD is found in several Enterobacterial species but its function is unknown. The record is from Rfam.